RNAcentral lists this ribosomal RNA (389 nucleotides) under uncultured bacterium. RNAcentral describes it as "bacterial SSU rRNA". It matches the Rfam family "Bacterial small subunit ribosomal RNA", at positions 28 to 417 of the family's 1533-position model. The record is from RNAcentral.
GACGAACGCUGGCGGCGUGCUUAACACAUGCAAGUCGAGCGGUAAGGCCCUUUCGGGGGUACACGAGCGGCGAACGGGUGAGUAACACGUGGGUUACCUGCCCUCAGCUCUGGGAUAAGCCUGGGAAACCGGGUCUAAUACUGGAUAUGACUCCAUGACGCAUGUUGUGGGGUGGAAAGCCUUGUGCGGCUGAGGAUGGGCCCGCGGCCUAUCAGCUUGUUGGUGGGGUGAUGGCCUACCAAGGCGACGACGGGUAGCCGGCCUGAGAGGGCGACCGGCCACACUGGGACUGAGACACGGCCCAGACUCCUACGGGAGGCAGCAGGUGGGGAAUCUUGCGCAAUGGGCGAAAGCCUGACGCAGCGACGCCGCGUGAGGGAUGACGGCCU